Molecule: ribosomal RNA, 253 nt
Filed under: uncultured bacterium
Lineage: Bacteria
Description: partial 16S ribosomal RNA
Rfam family: Bacterial small subunit ribosomal RNA
Source: RNAcentral
UACAGAGGGGGCAAGCGUUGUUCGGAAUUACUGGGCGUAAAGGGCGCGUAGGCGGCCUGCUAAGUCGAACGUGAAAUCCCCGGACUCAACCCGGGAACUGCGUCCGAUACUGGUUGGCUUGAAUCCGGGAGAGGGAUGCGGAAUUCCAGGUGUAGCGGUGAAAUGCGUAGAGAUGUGGAGGAACACCGAUGGAGAAGGCAGCCUCCUGGGCCAACACUGACGCUCAUGCACGAAAGCGUGGGGAGCAAACAGG